AGGACGAACGCUGGCGGCGCGCCUAACACAUGCAAGUCGAACGAGCGAGAGAGAGUUUACUUUUCGAGCGAGUGGCGAACGGGUGAGUAACGCGUGAGGAACCUGCCUCAAAGAGGGGGACAACAGUUGGAAACGACUGCUAAUACCGCAUAAGCCCACGACCCGGCAUCGGGUAGAGGGAAAAGGAGCAAUCCGCUUUGAGAUGGCCUCGCGUCCGAUUAGCUAGUUGGUGAGGUAACGGCCCACCAAGGCGACGAUCGGUAGCCGGACUGAGAGGUUGAACGGCCACAUUGGGACUGAGACACGGCCCAGACUCCUACGGGAGGCAGCAGUGGGGAAUAUUGCACAAUGGGGGAAACCCUGAUGCAGCGACGCCGCGUGGAGGAAGAAGGUCUUCGGAUUGUAAACUCCUGUUGUUGAGGAAGAUAAUGACGGUACUCAACAAGGAAGUGACGGCUAACUACGUG
RNAcentral lists this ribosomal RNA (467 nucleotides) under uncultured bacterium. Its description in RNAcentral is "bacterial SSU rRNA". It matches the Rfam family "Bacterial small subunit ribosomal RNA", at positions 26 to 507 of the family's 1533-position model. The record is from RNAcentral.